UUAAACUACACUAAACACUUGAAGUAGAGAACAAAAAAUAAUGGCGAAUGGAACAUUAAAUUGGAAAUCAGUUAUUUAUGACCAGCUGAAAGCAAGAAAUUCAAAAGAAAGAUACAGAUUUACAGAGCUAAUAGAAACACAGAGCAGACUAUUUGAUGUUCGCUUUAAACUCCAGUCAGAAAAUAUAAGGUUGGCUCAGCAAACUCAGACACUGAGGACGGAAAACUUAAGUCUUCAAACUCGGGCUCAAAACAUUGGCGACAAUUCUGCAGUAUGGAAAGUAGACAGAGUCAAGCAACUUGAAGAUCAGGUG
Long non-coding RNA from Dreissena polymorpha, 313 nucleotides. RefSeq lists it as uncharacterized. The record is from RefSeq and is a predicted model, not a curated record. Lineage: Eukaryota; Metazoa; Mollusca; Bivalvia; Myida; Dreissenidae. The transcript is spliced from 3 exons.